AGAGGAGCAGGUUUUCUAAUCAGGAAGGUGCUCAGUCUUAGAAUGGUCGAGAUGUUGGUAAUUGGAAGUAAAAGAAGUGGGGGGUUCUGGUCCUUACUCUUCAGCUAGUGCUCCUUACCAGUCGAGCGACAGGUGUCAUCAUGGUGGUGAUAAUUUUUGGAUAUAGGGUUUCCAAUCACAGGCAAGAGGAGGUCAGUCAGU
Molecule: long non-coding RNA, 201 nt
Filed under: Capsicum annuum
Lineage: Eukaryota; Viridiplantae; Streptophyta; Magnoliopsida; Solanales; Solanaceae
Description: long non-coding RNA (CANN_LNC001166)
Source: RNAcentral